Molecule: small nucleolar RNA, 134 nt
Organism: Grammomys surdaster
Lineage: Eukaryota; Metazoa; Chordata; Mammalia; Rodentia; Muridae
Product: small nucleolar RNA SNORA17
Exons: 1
Source: RefSeq, a predicted model, not a curated record
CCUGUCCCUUGAGGCAUUGGAGAUAUAUGGCUGCCAUGUCACAUGUGCAUCAGUAGGUGGCAGAGAGGAGGGAAGCUGUGUCUUCACUCAGUGUUCUGACCUGUGAACAUCUGAAUGAUUAGUAGCCUAUCAUU